This is a long non-coding RNA of Nematolebias whitei (Rio pearlfish), 496 nucleotides long. RefSeq lists it as uncharacterized. The transcript is spliced from 4 exons. The record is from RefSeq and is a predicted model, not a curated record. Lineage: Eukaryota; Metazoa; Chordata; Actinopteri; Cyprinodontiformes; Rivulidae.
GGGGCGCGGUCCCUGAGAACUCGUCUGGGAAUCUAUACUAUGGAGCCUCGCCUCGCAGAAGGGCCAUACGAUGUAGAAAUGAGGCAUGGAGCCUCUUCAAGGAAUUUCACAUUUCACCCAUGGGAGGACACACUGGUAUUGUGAAAACCAGAAAUGCCAUGUGUUCCCGAUUUUAUUGGCCUAGUAUAACUUCAGACAGAGAGAAAUGGGUGUCUCAAUGUGACCAGUGCCAAAGAGUCGGACCUCCAUUAAGAGUAGUCAGGACACUGGAUUGCAUCAAGGUAUCACGUGUCUGGCAGCUGAUCGGAAUUGAUCUGACAGGUCCCCUCCCCAAGACAUCUUCUGGCUUUCAGUAUAUAUUGACAGCAACUGACGACUUCUCAAAGUGGGUGGAGGCUUUCCCUCUGAAAAAUAAGUCUGCAAAAACUUGUGUAGCAUCAUUUAUCGGCACGGCUGUCCUGAGCGUAUUCUCACAGACCAGGGACGAGAGUUUGUG